RNAcentral lists this ribosomal RNA (490 nucleotides) under uncultured bacterium. RNAcentral describes it as "partial 16S ribosomal RNA". It matches the Rfam family "Bacterial small subunit ribosomal RNA", at positions 30 to 507 of the family's 1533-position model. The record is from RNAcentral.
AUUGAACGCUGGCGGCAGGCCUAACACAUGCAAGUCGAACGGUAACAGGAAGAAGCUUGCUUCUUUGCUGACGAGUGGCGGACGUGUGAGUAAUGUCUGGGAAACUGCCUGAUGGAGGGGGAUAACUACUGGAAACGGUAGCUAAUACCGCAUAACGUCGCAAGACCAAAGAGGGGUACCUUCGGGCCUCUUGCCAUCGGAUGUGCCCAGAUGGGAUUAGCUAGUAGGUGGGGUAACGGCUCACCUAGGCGACGAUCCCUAGCUGGUCUGAGAGGAUGACCAGCCACACUGGAACUGAGACACGGUCCAGACUCCUACGGGAGGCAGCAGUGGGGAAUAUUGCACAAUGGGCGAAAGCCUGAUGCAGCCAUGCCGCGUGUAUGAAGAAGGCCUUCGGGUUGUAAAGUACUUUCAGCGGGGAGGAAGGGAGUAAAGUUAAUACCUUUGCUCAUUGACGUUACCCGCAGAAGAAGCACCGGCUAACUACGUG